RNAcentral lists this small nuclear RNA (111 nucleotides) under Castor canadensis (American beaver). Lineage: Eukaryota; Metazoa; Chordata; Mammalia; Rodentia; Castoridae. The record is from RNAcentral.
GUGCUCACUUCAGCAGCACACAUCCUAAAAUUGGAAAGAUGCAGAGAAAAUUAAUUAGCAUGGCCCCUGCUCAAGGAUGACAUGCAAAUUCAUAAAGUGUUUCCAAAUAAA